RNAcentral lists this ribosomal RNA (1256 nucleotides) under metagenome. RNAcentral describes it as "bacterial LSU rRNA". It matches the Rfam family "Bacterial large subunit ribosomal RNA", at positions 1636 to 2890 of the family's 2925-position model. The record is from RNAcentral.
AUACGACCGUACCGCAAACCGACACUGGUGCCGAGAUGAGUAUUCUAAGGCGCUUGAGAGAACUCAGGAGAAGGAACUCGGCAAAUUGACACCGUAACUUCGGAAGAAGGUGUGCCCUAUUAGUGUGUAGUGAACAACGAAGCAUGAAUGGGUUGCAAAAAAUCGGUGGCUGCGACUGUUUAUUAAAAACACAGCACUCUGCAAACACGAAAGUGGACGUAUAGGGUGUGACGCCUGCCCGGUGCUGGAAGAUUAAAUGAUGGGGUGCAAGCUCUUGAUUGAAGUCCCAGUAAACGGCGGCCGUAACAAUAACGGUCCUAAGGUAGCGAAAUUCCUUGUCGGGUAAGUUCCGACCUGCACGAAUGGCGUAACGAUGGCCACACUGUCUCCUCCUGAGACUCAGCGAAGUUGAAAUGUUUGUGAUGAUGCAAUCUCCCCGCGGAAAGACGGAAAGACCCCAUGAACCUUUACUGUAGCUUUGUAUUGGACUUUGAACAGAUCUGUGUAGGAUAGGUGGGAGGCUUUGAAGCAGGGUCGCUAGAUCUUGUGGAGCCAACGUUGAAAUACCACCCUGGUGUGUUUGAGGUUCUAACCUAGGUCCAUUAUCUGGAUCGGGGACAGUGCAUGGUGGGCAGUUUGACUGGGGCGGUCUCCUCCCAAAGCGUAACGGAGGAGUUCGAAGGUACGCUAGUUACGGUCGGACAUCGUGACGAUAGUGCAAUGGCAUAAGCGUGCUUAACUGCGAGACUGACAAGUCGAGCAGAUGCGAAAGCAGGACAUAGUGAUCCGGUGGUUCUGUAUGGAAGGGCCAUCGCUCAACGGAUAAAAGGUACUCUGGGGAUAACAGGCUGAUACCGCCCAAGAGUUCAUAUCGACGGCGGUGUUUGGCACCUCGAUGUCGGCUCAUCUCAUCCUGGGGCUGUAGCCGGUCCCAAGGGUAUGGCUGUUCGCCAUUUAAAGAGGUACGUGAGCUGGGUUUAAAACGUCGUGAGACAGUUUGGUCCCUAUCUUCCGUGGGCGCUGCAGAUUUGAGGAAGCCUGCUCCUAGUACGAGAGGACCGGAGUGGACACACCUCUGGUGUAUCGGUUGUCACGCCAGUGGCAUUGCCGAGUAGCUAAGUGUGGAAGAGAUAACCGCUGAAAGCAUCUAAGCGGGAAACUCGUUUCAAGAUGAGAUCUGCCGGGGCCUUGAGCCCCCUAAAGAGUCGUUCAAGACCAGGACGUUGAUAGGUCAGGUGUGGAAGCGAAAAGAAAAG